RNAcentral lists this unclassified non-coding RNA (405 nucleotides) under soil metagenome. RNAcentral's name for it is "partial contains 5.8S ribosomal RNA, internal transcribed spacer 2, and large subunit ribosomal RNA". The stretch from base 1 to 121 matches the Rfam family "5.8S ribosomal RNA", at positions 35 to 154 of the family's 154-position model. The record is from RNAcentral.
GAUGAAGAACGAAGCGAAAUGCGAUAAGUAAUGUGAAUUGCAGAAUUCAGUGAAUCAUCGAAUCUUUGAACGCACCUUGCGCCCUUUGGCCAUUCCGAAGGGCAUGCCUGUUUGAGUAUCAUGAACACCUCAACUCUUUAUGGUUUUCCAUGAUGAGCUUGGACUCUGGGGGUUUUGCUGGCUCACAGUCGGCUCCUCUAAAAUGAAUCAGCUUACCAGUGUUUGGUGGGUAUCAUGGGUGUGAUAACUAUCUACGCUUGUGGUUUUUCCACCAGGUAACCUUCAGCAGUGGAGGUUCGCUGGAGCUCAUAGAUGUCUCUCCUCAGUGAGGACAGCCCUUUGAAUGUUUGAUCUCAAAUCAGGAAGGACUACCCGCUGAACUUAAGCAUAUCAAUAAGCGGAGGA